CUGCGAGUUCGCGGGAGAGUAGGUUAUUGCCAGGGUUUUUAUUUUAUACUUUAAGUUUUGAUUUUAUUUUUACGUUAUUUAAAUAUUGGUGUUUUUAAAUGUGUUAUUUAAAUAACAUAAAAAAUAAAAUAUAUGUUGACAUGUAUUAAACAAAGAUAUAUAUUAUUUUAUGUUGCAUAAACAAAUUGGCAAAAUAGAGAUGGAAGAUAAAAAUAUGGUCAAAGUAAUAAGAGUCUAUGGUGAAUGCCUAGGA
RNAcentral lists this unclassified non-coding RNA (253 nucleotides) under Borreliella burgdorferi (Lyme disease spirochete). Its description in RNAcentral is "partial miscellaneous RNA". The record is from RNAcentral. Lineage: Bacteria; Pseudomonadati; Spirochaetota; Spirochaetia; Spirochaetales; Borreliaceae. RNAcentral also lists the same sequence under 3 other names.